CAAUAGCGUAUAUUAAAGUUGUUGCGGUAAAAAAGCUCGUAGUUGGAUUUCUGUUGAGAGCGACCGGUCCAUACCAUGUAUGCGUAUCUGGCUUGCUCUCGGCAUCCUCUCGAUGGACGUUACUGCGCUUGAUUGCGUGGUGCGGAUCUCGGGACUUUUACUUUGAGGAAAUUAGAGUGUUCACGGCAGGCUUUCGCCAGAAUACAUUAGCAUGGAAUAAUACUAUAGGAUCUUGGUUCUAUUUUGUUGGUUUCUAGAAUUGAGAUAAUGAUUAAUAGGGACAAUUGGGGGCAUUCGUAUCAACACGUCAGAGGUGGAAUUCUUGGAUUGUGUUGCGACGAACUACUGCGAAAGCAUUUGCCAAGGAUGUUUUCAUUGA
RNAcentral lists this ribosomal RNA (379 nucleotides) under uncultured eukaryote. Its description in RNAcentral is "partial 18S ribosomal RNA". It matches the Rfam family "Eukaryotic small subunit ribosomal RNA", at positions 592 to 976 of the family's 1831-position model. The record is from RNAcentral.